This 260-nucleotide ribosomal RNA is filed under the name uncultured bacterium. RNAcentral describes it as "partial 16S ribosomal RNA". It matches the Rfam family "Bacterial small subunit ribosomal RNA", at positions 524 to 776 of the family's 1533-position model. The record is from RNAcentral.
UACGUAGGGUGCAAGCGUUAUCCGGAAUUAUUGGGCGUAAAGAGCUCGUAGGCGGUUUGUCACGUCUGCUGUGAAAACUGGAGGCUCAACCUCCAGCCUGCAGUGGGGUACGGGCAGACUAGAGUGGCGGUAGGGGAGACUGGAAUUCCUGGUGUAGCGGUGAAAUGCGCAGAUAUCAGGAGGAACACCGGUGGCGAAGGCGGGUCUCUGGGCCGAUACUGACGCUGGAGGGAGCGAAAAGCCGUGGGGGAGCGAACAGG